GCCAGUCGACCGGACUUCGAGACCAUCGGGAGCCGUCUUGACGCCCGCUCUCCUAAAGCGGGUGUCGCAGGUUCGAAUCCUGCCGGGGGCA
RNAcentral lists this transfer RNA (91 nucleotides) under Streptomyces sp. S.PB5. RNAcentral's name for it is "tRNA-Arg". The record is from RNAcentral. Lineage: Bacteria; Bacillati; Actinomycetota; Actinomycetes; Kitasatosporales; Streptomycetaceae.